This 62-nucleotide transfer RNA is filed under the name Coralliophila richardi. Its description in RNAcentral is "tRNA-Val". Lineage: Eukaryota; Metazoa; Mollusca; Gastropoda; Neogastropoda; Muricidae. The record is from RNAcentral.
AAAAAUGUAGUAUAUUAAUACAUCUCAUUUACACUGAGAAGAUGCUAAAUUAGCUGUUUUUU